AUAGCUGAAAGUACUGUUUGCUGAUUUGUUACGAGAGGAAAACACUAUUAGCUGUCAAAUAAGAUAAGCGACCGCAAACCAGUGCAAGACGCGCCAACCCACCCAAGUGGGAUCGACAAGAGACUGGUUCAUGCACCUGACAUGCGGACAUGCAUGGUGCGGACUCUGCUGCUGCUAGUUUACUGCUCCUGCUAGUAUUACCAUUUUACCACUAGUCCACUCGCAUUGUAAGAAAAUAUAAUCACGCGUGAUUGACUGACUGACUGGUGGCGGCUAGAACUGUUCAGUUCAGAUAAGAGAUAUCACCAUCAGUUUGAGAGCUUCCAACCGAACACAGAUGCAUACGGUGACCUGUUCAUAGGGAUCUUUCAGCAUAGGUUCUAGUCUUCCAGAAGAUAAGUCAUUUCUUCGGAGCUGCAAGCUAAUAAAUAUUGACAUACCUUUCCAGGAAAACAAACGACAGUGUGACCCGUUGAUAUUUCCAGGUCUUAAUCUGAAACUGCACAACUUAUUUCUCAGUCAGAUAUUUCCAACUCCCUUUUCCUGAAAAGAAAAGAGAGAAAACCAAUUGUGAAGUAGUACCAUGUAUUGCAUCAUUUAUUCAAAUAAGUCCUCAAGAAAAGUUUACCAAAACAAUAUCAGCAUGUAAAUCAUAAAGGCCUCUCAAAGGAAUCCAUCUAAAAAAAAUGCUUGAAUCCAAUAGCCAGCUGGGUCAUUUUAUAAUUAAACGCACUCUCGAGAAUUGCUACCUUCCUUGCCUCCCAUAUCACAAAGCCAGUCGACAUCAGGUCAAUUUGUUAUUUCUAACAGCAUUCAAGCAUGUGACGUGAGCAAGGACUAGGAAGUUCCCUCACAAGAAUCUUACAAAGCCAGUCGACGGUGUUUUCUUUUUCUUCCUGGUGAAAGUAACUUUCUUCUUGCAAAGUUCCCUCACAAGAAUCUUACAAGCCAGUCGACUGUGUUUUUUUUCUUCCUGCUGAAAGUAACUUUCUUCUUGCAAAAACAAAAAAAAACAAAAAACAAAGACAAUGCAUGCAUUAUUUAAGACGCAUUCAUAUGUACUCCAUGUGUCCAAAGCCACAAGUUCACUCAAACACAAGUAUCACGCACGAUGCUACUUGUUUCCCUCCUCCUCCUACUUCUUUCUUCCCCAAAGCUGUUAGCUGAAGGUCCCUUCUGCAGCAAUGCUAACACCGCAUGCAUGCCAAGCAGUACCUACAUGUCCAACCUGAAAUCCCUUGCUGAAGACCUGAUUGGCAGCAUCACAAGCUCAAACUCACACUCAGCUCAUGGCGCAGCCGGAACAGGUGCUGGCAGGGUCUAUGGAGCGGUUCUAUGCAGAGGAGACACCAACCCAGGUAAAGAUUGUGCACGGCGCCUUGAGGCCCUUUAUGCAGCCAUCAGCAACAGCAGUAGCUCUUGCUCCUCGCAGAAGAACAUAAACCUUUUCGAUGACAGAAACCGGACCCAGCUAAUAUUCUCUGAUCAGGACUUCAGCUCCAGCAACGCUCAGGAAUGCGUAGUGAGCGGUAAUCUGAACCCUCCACCAGUUAGUGAUGAUGCUGACUCAGAGUUCGAUGUGCCUCUUUCCAAACUGAUGAACCAGCUUGCUGAUGACAUGGUGAGUAAAUCAGUCAGCAGGUACGAGACAGGCCAGGGCUGGCUCCCUCAAACGAAUCAGACAGUAUAUGGGCUUGUGCAGUGCACAGAUGAUAUUGCAUGGGAGGAUUGCGGAGGUUGCCUGAAGGGCAUUAUAAACAACAGGAAGCAGAUGGUUGGUACUGGACAGAUAGUAGGUGCAAUCCUAGGGAUGUACUGCAGCUUGUGGUACCAGACUGAUGUUAAGUUCUUUGCUGGUAAGCCGAAGUUGUCAGUAGAUAUGCCCGUAGACCCCCCACGUAAGUUCAUCUUCAAUCCUGAGUUGGUUGACUUGUUUCAAGCUUUCAUCUUCAUCUCCUCUAACCAUCUGAUUCAAACUAAACUUAGGUGAAUGCAAAAUUAGAUUCCCUCAUCUAAAAGACGAAGUGCCUCUUUUUUGUAGAAGGGUCAAAAUUGGGGUGCACAUACUACAUUACAACAUUGUGUUAAAAAUUAUUUUGAAAGCAUAGAAAAUGUUUCCUGCUUCCAUUACAAUCUACAUGUGUAUCAAUCUACCAUGUGACCCUCUUAUUAGGAUUUCUCGAAAUCCAACAUUGACUACUGACUAGAAUUUGCAUUGGUUAUAACUCAUAUACAUGGAUGUGCAGCAAACAAAUUUUGGAUCUGGGUCACUAUUGGAUCAUUCUCCAUCGUGGUUUCUGUUUCUUGGUUGCUUGUUCAUAUAUGGAUCAGAACAGAGAGAAAAAGAGGUAAAGUAUUAGUCUCAUGGCACUAACCUUGUAUGUGCUUUAAUUUUAAUGGUAAAUAAUGAGUACCAACAAAAUAACUUCACAAUUGCUUCCAGAACGAGCAAGA
RNAcentral lists this long non-coding RNA (2454 nucleotides) under Sorghum bicolor (sorghum). Its description in RNAcentral is "long non-coding RNA (SBIC_LNC003789)". Lineage: Eukaryota; Viridiplantae; Streptophyta; Magnoliopsida; Poales; Poaceae. The record is from RNAcentral.